CCCCAUGGAGGAUCUGAACAUACACAUCUUUCGUGCACUACAUCCUGAAUUUGAAUCUAUGGUCUCCGCAAUGAUGGAUCGUAGGGAACCAAUCUCUUACACUGAACUUCAUGGCCUACUUCUCAGUCGUGA
Telopea speciosissima is the source of this 132-nucleotide small nucleolar RNA. RefSeq annotates it as small nucleolar RNA Z247. Lineage: Eukaryota; Viridiplantae; Streptophyta; Magnoliopsida; Proteales; Proteaceae. The transcript has a single exon. The record is from RefSeq and is a predicted model, not a curated record.